Peromyscus maniculatus bairdii (prairie deer mouse) is the source of this 406-nucleotide non-coding RNA. The record is from RefSeq and is a predicted model, not a curated record. NCBI's taxonomy places the organism in Eukaryota, Metazoa, Chordata, Mammalia, Rodentia, Cricetidae.
GUACAUCUACGCUGCAGUUAGUGUAGUGUUGAAACUAUAGGUGAGUCCUAUCUGCAUGGAGAAUAUUGCAUUGCAUAGAAGUUCUUGUCAUUCUGGGUGGCAUCCUCCCAGAAGUGUGCCUGCAGGAAUGCCAUACAUGAAAUCCACUGUGUUCCUUUGGAACUUGCUCCCAAGUUGCCAACUUUCCUUCAUCAAUGAUGUCAUCUUGUCUUUGAACAGAUGCUCUGGAUAAUGCCUCUGGCUUUAUUGGUCAAAAGAAGGCUCUCAGAAAAGAGAAGAUACAGGAAGAUAAUUUUCCAACAAAACACACGUUGCAUGAAAACAUGAAUUGAUGUCUUUUCUUUAUUACUUUACUUCAGGGUUAAAAUCAAGAAUACUAAAAAGUAGUAUCUUUUUUUCCUAUAAA